RNAcentral lists this ribosomal RNA (438 nucleotides) under uncultured bacterium. Its description in RNAcentral is "bacterial SSU rRNA". It matches the Rfam family "Bacterial small subunit ribosomal RNA", at positions 954 to 1392 of the family's 1533-position model. The record is from RNAcentral.
GCUUAACGCGAAGAACCUUACCUGGGCUUGACAUACGCCGGAUCGCCGCAGAGAUGUGGUUUCCCUUGUGGCCGGUGUACAGGUGGUGCAUGGUUGUCGUCAGCUCGUGUCGUGAGAUGUUGGGUUAAGUCCCGCAACGAGCGCAACCCUUGUCUUGUGUUGCCAGCACGUUAUGGUGGGGACUCGCGAGAGACUGCCGGGGUUAACUCGGAGGAAGGUGGGGAUGACGUCAAAUCAUCAUGCCCCUUAUGUCCAGGGCUUCACACAUGCUACAAUGGUCGGUACAGUGGGUUGCGAUGCCGUGAGGUGGAGCUAUCCCUUAAAGCCGGUCUCAGUUCGGAUUGGAGUCUGCAACUCGACUCCAUGAAGUCGGAGUCGCUAGUAAUCGCAGAUCAGCAACGCUGCGGUGAAUACGUUCCCCGGGUCUUGUACACACCG